AUUCCACUAUGUUGACACUUUCUAACGAUCUCCUUAAACAUCUCCCAUGCUUCAAACAUGCUUUUAGUCUCUUCUAGGCAAAAGUUAUGGAUUUCACUUCUAAACUU
Molecule: small nucleolar RNA, 107 nt
Filed under: Nicotiana sylvestris (wood tobacco)
Lineage: Eukaryota; Viridiplantae; Streptophyta; Magnoliopsida; Solanales; Solanaceae
Also listed under: 1 other name
Description: Plant small nucleolar RNA R71
Rfam family: Plant small nucleolar RNA R71
About the family: R71 is a member of the C/D box family of snoRNAs containing the C (UGAUGA) and D (CUGA) box motifs. Multiple nearly identical copies of this snoRNA have been identified in Arabidopsis, and it is thought to function as a 2'-O-ribose methylation guide for 18S ribosomal RNA.
Source: Rfam by way of RNAcentral